Molecule: long non-coding RNA, 721 nt
Filed under: Bos indicus x Bos taurus (hybrid cattle)
Lineage: Eukaryota; Metazoa; Chordata; Mammalia; Artiodactyla; Bovidae
Description: lncRNA (ENSBIXG00000010814.1)
Source: RNAcentral
UUUUUUUUAAAGCAGAAGGUCAUUUAUCUCCACUGCUGGCAUUAAGGUGUCAUUAAUAUUGAAAAGCCCAAUAUCAAUAAUAAAAACGUCUUCAGCACUGAGGCCUGGAUUGUGUGGAAGCAUUGGAUUUCUGCAAUUAAAAGAUCAUGUAAGGGAAAAACCGAAGCAGAACUCUGCAGCAUCACUGGAGGAGAACACAGGAUACAUGUGGGAGACAGAUCAGACGCUUCGAUGAUUCAAAUCCUGAUGACAUGAUAAGCAGGAGACAGAUCAGACGCUUCGAUGAUUCAAAUCCUGAUGACAUGAUAAGCAUACUUCUGACCUCAGUCCGUCACCAUGGUUUUCACUCCUGGUAAAUUCAUUUGUUUCAUCAAGAGAAUGCAGCCUUUCUAAGAUGCACUAUGAAAUUGAACACAGAAGGAGGUUUAGAAGAGACAAGCAACAGGGACAAACAAGCCAUUACAGGGCAGGAGCCCAUUGUCAGUUUCCAGAACUAUAAGAAAAUACAAGGGUUUCCUCUGGUGAUCAAAGCCACCCUGGUCAUGCGUGCAGCAGGUCAGAAGUGUCAGAGAUUCAGCUCUAGCAACCGUGGUCAUGAUGUGCUGUGUCAGCCCUUAUGGAUUUACCACUGAAGCUGGGAGAAGAGCACAUGAAGACAAGCCGAGGGGCAGAGAUUUAUCAAAGGGCUCCCUGCCUUUCUGACAGAUGUGCUGCAGCGGCC